RNAcentral lists this ribosomal RNA (497 nucleotides) under uncultured bacterium. RNAcentral describes it as "partial 16S ribosomal RNA". It matches the Rfam family "Bacterial small subunit ribosomal RNA", at positions 28 to 506 of the family's 1533-position model. The record is from RNAcentral.
GACGAACGCUGGUGGCGUGCCUAAUACAUGCAAGUCGAACGAGAGCGACCGGUGCUUGCACUGGUCAAUCUAGUGGCGAACGGGUGAGUAACACGUGGGUAACCUGCCCAUCAGAGGGGGAUAACAUCCGGAAACGGAUGCUAAAACCGCAUAGGUCUUCGAACCGCAUGGUUUGAAGAGGAAAAGAGGCGCAAGCUUCUGCUGAUGGAUGGACCCGCGGUGCAUUAGCUAGUUGGUGAGGUAACGGCUCACCAAGGCCGUGAUGCAUAGCCGACCUGAGAGGGUGAUCGGCCACAUUGGAACGGAGACACGGCCAAAACUCCUACGGGAGGCAGCAGUAGGAAAUCUUCCGCAAUGGACGCAAGUCUGACGGAGCAACGCCGCGUGAGUGAAGAAGGUUUUCGGAUCGUAAAACUCUGUUGUUAGAGAAGAACAAGUGCUAGAGUAACUGUUAGCGCCUUGACGGUAUCUAACCAGAAAGCCACGGCUAACUACGU